RNAcentral lists this ribosomal RNA (450 nucleotides) under uncultured bacterium. RNAcentral's name for it is "partial 16S ribosomal RNA". It matches the Rfam family "Bacterial small subunit ribosomal RNA", at positions 354 to 796 of the family's 1533-position model. The record is from RNAcentral.
GUGGGGAAUCUUCCGCAAUGGACGAAAGUCUGACGGAGCAACGCCGCGUGAGUGAAGAAGGUUUUCGGAUCGUAAAGCUCUUUCGUUAGGGACGAACGUGCUCUUUGUGAAUAAUGAGGAGUAAUGACGGUACCUAAAUAAGAAGCCACGGCUAACUACGUGCCAGCAGCCGCGGUAAUACGUGGGUGGCAAGCGUUGUCCGGAAUUAUUGGGCGUAAAGCGCGCGCAGGCGGGAUAUCAAGUCUGUCUUAAAAGUGCGAGGCUCAACCUCGUGAGGGGACAGAAACUGGUAUUCUUGAGUGUCGGAGAGGAAAGUGGAAUUCCAAGUGUAGCGGUGAAAUGCGUAGAGAUUUGGAAGAACACCAGUGGCGAAGGCGACUUUCUGGACGAUGUCUGACGCUGAGGCGCGAAAGCUAGGGGAGCGAACGGGAUUAGAUACCCCAGUAGUCC